Molecule: ribosomal RNA, 253 nt
Filed under: uncultured bacterium
Lineage: Bacteria
Description: partial 16S ribosomal RNA
Rfam family: Bacterial small subunit ribosomal RNA
Source: RNAcentral
UACAGAGGUCCCGAGCGUUGUUCGGAUUCACUGGGCGUAAAGGGUGCGUAGGUGGCUUGAAAAGUUUGAUGUGAAAGCUCAGGGCUUAACCCUGAAAUGGCAUUGAAUACUGUCGGGCUGGAGGUUUGGAGGGGGGACUGGAAUUCUUGGUGUAGCAGUGAAAUGCGUAGAUAUCAAGAGGAACACCAGUGGCGAAGGCGAGUCCCUGGACAACACCUGACACUGAGGCACGAAAGCCGGGGGAGCAAACAGG